This 169-nucleotide unclassified non-coding RNA is filed under the name uncultured Ascomycota. RNAcentral's name for it is "sequence contains ITS2". The record is from RNAcentral. Lineage: Eukaryota; Fungi; Ascomycota.
UCACAACUUCAAGCAUUGCUUGGUAAUUGGGCCUCGUCCAACUAACUCCCCUAUGUGGGUAUGGGCGUGCCUCAAAGUUAGCGGCGGUGUGACCCGGUCCUCGAGCGCAUUAGUUGAAAUCGCUAUGAGAGUCUAGGUUGCCCAGCCGGAUGAAUGAAUUUUUCCCAAA